AAAGAUAACUAUGGUGGCAUUUCUGAUCAUUUAGGCAAUUGAUGCAUCAUGAUCCCUUCUUGACUUAUUCUGUUUUAAAGUCUGAAAUCAAACUGGCUCCUGCAGUGAAAACCACUCCUUGAUCUCUGAAAUUUGAAUUUGCCAUCGUAGCGAGAGCGCCGUCAGGUGGAAUGGGGGUACGGAUACAGCGCGUCCAUUCCAUGAGGUGCGGAAUGCGGUCGGAACGCGCCAUGCAUACCCACCUAGAAAUCAUCGCAGCAAGAAAAAUAUUAGUGUUGCGCACUGCAUACGCACUUCAGACGGAAUGGAUAUGCUGAAGUCCUAAUUCAAACGCUAGAUGGGCGUGACCUAUACUUAUAUCUGUUUAAUCCAAAACGUACGACUGCGUAUUGGCAGAAAUCCGCGCGGACCUCAUACGCACUUGAAAAUAUACGCACGCGUGAGCCCACAUGAAGGGUAGCACCGAAUUAGUACCGUUCGUUCUGCGAUCGGGCAGUGCAUUGUCAAAGUUGACAAAUGACAAACGCAAUUAUCCCGUAAUCGACGAACACCCAGGGUACACUUGAGAUUUGGUAUAAGUAUUACGGCUGAGUCACAUUUCGGGCAGCCCAUAAUGACAAAGGUUUGCAAAUCACUUCUUGUAUCUGUAUCAUUCUUAGAUACUGUAUUUGUUACAGAUUAAUUUUGAAAUCAUAAUAUGAAUGAAUGUUCCAGAUGUUUUAACUGUGUGAUGUACUAAAUAUCAAGCCUGUUGAAGUGUAAUCAAAGAAAAUGUCGUACACUCAACUAAAAUAAUCCAUCACGGUAGUACAAGACCAUUGUUUAUUUUCGUCGAUAGACCUAACUUAUGGCAUGGCGUCAUUGUUCUGCUGUAUACACCUCUUGUCGAGUCAAGUACAUCCAGAUGAGCUCAAGAAUCCUCUCGUUGCAAGGACUGUCUUGUCAAAUCUUGCCAUCAAACGUUGCUUUCUGGUUCUUCGAGUGAACCACUACGUACUCUCGUAGGACAACUGAACGGCGGUAAACGUGUUAACAUCUAGUGCAUUACUUAGUCCCAAUCUUCUAACGGAAAAGUCGGGCGCGAACACCAUGUCAUACGGACCUGUUUCCCUUCCUCCGGGAGUAAAACCUACGCUUGUGGUCUUCAUCGCUGCCGGCAUUGUCUUGGCUAAUACUUUUGUCGUCCUGACGAUUGUGAAGGCCAACCGCACGCCGACCCUGAGAGGCUUCGCAAGGUUCCUGGCCAUACUCCUGGUGUGUGGAAACACCAUAUCAGUUUUGUUAGUCGUGUCCCUGGCCUUCAGCGUGACUGACCAAUGGCAGUACAGGGACACAUUCUGUCGGGUGAGUCUGUCUUUAAUACUACCACCUGUUACCUAUGCCGUGUCCUCCUAUUUGUGAUUUUAAGGGCCGGGUGGGGCGCAUUGGAAGGCAUAACUCGUCACAAUAUCUAUGUAAAGCUUGUUUGGCAUUUUUGCGUAACAAUAUGUGCAUACGUACUUCCAAAACAUGUAACGUUACCCCCCCUUUCUAUUUGAUCUCAGUUUUGCCAGAUUCCCAGGUGACUGGGAACCAUGACUGAGAACCAUGACUGGGAACCAAAGACUUCAGUGUCCAGUGCGACACAUGCCCUAAAGUUUGAUUAACUAAGAAAAGGGUGUUUAAGAAUUUUAAACAUCCUUGGUCUAUUACAAGACAAACGACGUCAAGUGAUGUACACAGUAGUAUCACUUUUCGUCUCACAUCUACUGAAAAGACUCCACAUAUAGAGGCUGUUUCUAAAUUGUAUAUUCGGUAAUGUGAAUGGCAUCUGCUGUUUUUUGUGUGACAUUUAAUCUAAUAACCAUCUUAGAUAUUUGACAGCGCUUCAAGGGCGAGCCUGACAUAUGUGCGGUUUGUAAGAAUUCUAGGACUUUCCCCUGUUUUUCCCAUGUCCAGGCAUGAGUUUUCAUUUGGAAGAAAACCCCUGAUAAGGAUACCGAGGGAUAAUCAACCUCUGAUGGAAAGAUCCUCAGUUCGACAGUGAAGAAAAAGAAAUAUCAUGAACAGGAACAUGCAAUUCUUACAGGGUUUAGUCCUCCUCUGAUCGCCUGUAGUCAAAGGCCACCGUUCCCAUGACGAUGAUUGUGUUGAUUCCUUGUUGAUUCUUUUGUUUUUCGUUGAACUAUCACACUUACAGCAAACAAUCCUGGACUCUUUCGCCUGUUAUGUGGCUACCCUGGCCAUGAUGUAUGUCGUCACCCACCCAACAAGUUUCCAACACAACAUGGAGCUCAACCCUUUCCUCGCCUUCGUUGCUGCUGCCGGGAUUCUGCCGUUUUUCCACAUCACUGGCCUUGCUCUUGUCCUGAUCUGCGACUAACAGAGGUCGACGUCGGGUCAUCAGGCUGUCAUCCCCACCAUCGUCAUCCAGUGACCGGUCAAAACGUGUCCAUCUAACGUUGUCGUGAACUCUUUGAAAGCGAGACAGAAAUACGUACCAAUAUUUCAAAGUACUGUAUGAUUUUGUAUACUAGACCAAGAUGCUGAGUGCAGUGCAUGAUAGAAGACAGAGCUUUUUGAUAAACCACUGCGCCAACCAGUUUACCAUGCAAAUGUAAACAAUCGAGCGUAGAAGGGAUUCGGAGUCUUGAGUUGGGACUACAUGAUUAUAAAUAUAAUGCAUUUUACGGUGUCACUAACGUCAAUAGCGAACUUGAAGCAAGAAAGAAUCCGGUUUCUUUAUCGGGAAGUAAUUUGACAUAUUUUCGUAGCCAUGAAGUGUCUGUUUUAGUCUCAUAUGUUAUAUACGAUACGGAAUGUAAGUCAAGUGUCAGACUGUACUUGGUACAAGCUGUAGUACAAGUGAAUGACUAACUAAAUGUAUAAGCUAUUUUGCGUGAAAGCAAAAAUGCUAAUGGCACAUAUUAAUUAAGAAACAGCAUCUCAGCUAUGCAAACACCCAAAGGCUUGAAUAGUAUACUACGAAUAUAACAAUGUUACAGCAAAAUCAUUUUUGUCCGUCUUUUGUCUGUUUCAACAUCAGUCGAGCUAACACUGCGACAAAUGGUUGCGCCAAAAUUCGAGAAGAAAGAACAAGCAUAUGUUAAACGGUCUGAUCGCACAGUUCGCCAUUGGGUGCUCAGGGAUCACUAAAGGUCGCUCAUGAGCAGCGGUCUCCACAGGACUUGCUAACAUGAUGACGUUUUUUUAUUGCUG
Long non-coding RNA from Branchiostoma floridae (Florida lancelet), 3198 nucleotides. RefSeq lists it as uncharacterized. The record is from RefSeq and is a predicted model, not a curated record. Lineage: Eukaryota; Metazoa; Chordata; Leptocardii; Amphioxiformes; Branchiostomatidae. The transcript is spliced from 3 exons.